Long non-coding RNA from Mus musculus (house mouse), 4973 nucleotides. RefSeq annotates it as predicted gene, 39857. The record is from RefSeq and is a predicted model, not a curated record. Lineage: Eukaryota; Metazoa; Chordata; Mammalia; Rodentia; Muridae. The transcript is spliced from 4 exons.
CCAACCAACCAGCACACAGCCUGCUGAAGGAUUCUGUAUGGAAGGAAAAUACCACUCAGACAUAGAAAGCGGCACUUGUGUGGAGGAGAAAUGGCUGGCUAACUUAACAAGCCAGGUGGCAGGCAGUGGGGAUGGAGUAACAAGCCUUUCUCCCUUCAGUCAGCUGGGCUUUCUCUCUGGGUCUGUUGGUAUGCACAGGUACUGGCAAAGGUGUGGAGUGGACUUCCUGCAUCUCCCAACUAGCUCUGUACAUGCUGGAUUCCUAAAUGAUGAAAACACACCUGCUUGGGACAGGAAGCAAGUUUUUGCAAAUUGAGAUUUAUCAUGCCAAGUUUUGUUUUGUGCACGGGCUCUAUCGAAGCAAAGCUCGUAAUCAUGAUUGUAUAGCAAUCCAUCCUUCGUGAAACUAACUGGAAGUGAAGAAUGACCUGACAAUUUGAUUUAAGCAGAAACAUGAGUUUGCAGCCCAGCCCUGAGAAUGAGAUGUUCCUCUCUCCCUCCAGACCUGUCUGCUGCAUCUCUCUGGAAGCAGCGUGGUAAUCUUCCUAGGGUAAAAUGAACCUUCUCGGACCCUACGUCAGCUUUGUGGCCCUGUGAUAAGAACAAGAAGAAACAGUAAAGGAAACGCACCGUUUCGGCUGAAUCAGAUUUCAGAUCAGGAGACUCAAGGUCAUAAAAAGAAGGACGCUGCAAGAAGGGCGGAAGGGGAUCUCUCCCACCCCUGAACUUCGCUACACCUACUUCUAUGGUGAUUUCUAAUUCAGUAUGAGCUUAGGUGGGAGACCUAUCUUUGAGGUUUCAUGUGUUGGAUUGGCUAUGACCUUAACCUAAUAUUUCUACAGGAGGAUAGGAGCAAAUAUGCUCUGGUAUAUAUAUAUAAUAUAUGAUAUGUUAUAUCAUAUAUAAUAUACACUAUGUAUAAUAACUUCUAUGUGAUAAGCACUAUUUUAAUAUUUUGUCUCGGUUGACUCAAUCCUUAAAACAGCGUUGCACAGUAGGUGCAUUUUCACUUCCUACUUACAAAAGAGAAGCAGUUUAGUCAACUGCUUGCAGCUUACCAGGGGUAAGAGUUGGGGACGAGUUCUCAAAUUCCGAAGCCUGACUUCGGAGCUGAAGCGACUCCUAGGAACCAUUUUGACUCUGGGGAAGUUGAUUAACCUUUAUGUCCAAUUCCUUUGUUUUUAAAGGGCCAUAACAGCACUUCCUGCCUCCCUAGCUCUGAGAAGUGCUCAGAGAUUAAUGGCAGUGCGUGUCCAUUCCAGCCUUGUGGGUCUCCCCCUGAAUGCAGCAAGCUUCCUUUGAAGUCGAUAAAAGGCUGAUGUGUGUGUGUGUGUGAAGGGAAGCAGAGUUCUUGGCCAGGGAGGAGAUGUGUAGAUACUGAGGAAACAGGUAUAAAUCACUUUUAUUUUCUUGGAAAAUGAUCUAUAUAAGCAUCAAGUAGUACCAACUGUUUGGAAUUUUGUAUUUGAAGAUACAUUCUCCCAAAUGUGAAUUUCUCCUUUGGAAGUCACGAGCUGUGUAACGUUCCCCCAGCGGGAACUUUUAUAUUCCUAGUGCUUGCCCCCCAGGUAACCCAAAAGGUCUCUGUGUAAAACCAGGCCUUAGCCAUCUUUGUUUCAAUGGGUUCAUUUUCUCUCCAUUUCCACGUACUAUUUUACUUGUCCUUGGUCCUUAGUAUACAGUAGGUGCUCAAUAAAACUUGACUCAGAAAGUGGAAGCUGAGAAAUUAGAUUUUGUUUAAGUAUUUAUUGAUUGCUUACAUUCUUAAUGAGGAAGGCUACCUGGAAAAGUUAAAAGUUUUUUGAGGGGUUGGGCAAGGGAUUCCACAAGAACAUUUUAAAAACACAAAAGAGAGGAUGGAAGGAAUCAAGGCUGAAGGCUAGGGGCUAGGAAGCGUCUAUUAACUGGGAAAUGGUAAAAGCCUAAAGAUUGUCUUUCAGAGGCAUGGUUGCCAUAUUUCUUCACAAGUUAAGUUAGACAAAAUUUUACUAGAGUGUAGGGGGAGGUGGAGAGAAGAAGAGGUAGGUAGUCCUCUUUUGGGAUGGGUAACAUGUCAGAUUUUCUAACUGUAACACAGAGUAGCAAGGAUGUGUUCGCCACGUACAGAGGUCAAGGAGCACUCUGGAGCACUAUCUAUGGUUGGGCUCGUAGACAUGGUCUGUAUCACAGGAAAUUGUCCCUGCUAACGCUGCUUCCAAGGGGUGCACACCAGGCCUGUUUUUCUGGUGUUAAACCACCCAGUGUGUCAAGCAAUCCAGACAUGAGCAGGGUUGGGCUGACUUUCUGACUGCUGUUGUUUUUAAUUUACUUUAAUAUUCCUGGGGCAGAGGAGUACAAGAAUCUCUGUAGAAGGCAGUGCUAUGCCCAACUCCCAUGGACCCAAACUUAACACUCAAGAAUAUUUUAUUGCUGGAAUUCAUCAUUUCUGGAAUGAAUUAAUUUGGUCCUUCCGUUUCCUUGUUUUUUUUCUCAGGAGGACAAAAUGAACAGAGUGAUCUCAAGUUGGAAUGACCAUGGAGACGAGCGAUUUCAAUUUCGUUCUCUAACCAGUCAAUUAGUGAAUCACUUAUCUCAUACCUGUUCUACUAAAGUCAUCAGACCACAAUUAAAUGCAGACUUUAAAGAAUAAUGUAAGAGUCACUAUGCCUAAGGAAUAUAGGCAGGGUUACUAUCAGAAAUAUUAAUCAAUAAUAUAAUUUAUUGUUUUUAAAAAAUAAAGAAAAAAGUGAGUCUUAUGAGGCAGAAAAUCACUUGACAAAAAUUAACGUUCAAUCUUAACUCAAAUCUCUGAUUAUAUCAGGUGUAUCACGAAUAUUUUAUAGUUAGGUGUGAGUGUCAUGUUCAUCAAAGUGUGAGAUUAAAAAUUGAAUGCAGUCAGUGUCCUCAUGGGUAUUUUCUUUUUCUGAAACCUGAAAAAAUUGAAGCAAAAAUAGUGUGACUCAAAACGAAGGUAAAAGGUCACAAGAAUGAUGCUGUGUGAGACACAAACACACACCCUGAAGACCCACUAACUGGGGCAAAAAAAAUAUUGAUCAUAAAACCUAGAGGUAAACUAGCGGACUAGAAUGGAAAUCUGCAAGUAGUCAUCAAAAUUUAGAAUGUCAUGGAGCCAAAGUAGAAGGAUGGUUUGCUGAAACCCAGGGAGAAGCGUGAGACCCUUGGUUCUCAUCUCAUAGCAGAUACAGGAUUCUGUGAGAGAGCAGAAGCAGGGAGUGCCAGAAGAAAACACAUAUUCACAAUCACGUCCAUCAGGUCUGUGUGAUGGAGAUAGGAUGCAUUCAGACUGCUAGAAGCAGGGACCGAUGCCCCCAGCAUCCUCCUCUGUUCUGUGUCCUCUCUUCCUGCUGCAUGUCAAUACCAAUCUCUCCUAUGGACCCGUUUUUUCUUGAGCUGGAGCCUUAGGGUCAGCAGCUCUCUGGUGCCCUUUGCCUUCGGUCUCUGUCAGAGAAGCACUGAGCAUCAAGCACUCAUUCAUCUCUAGACAGAAAGGGUGCAGGCAGCUGACUAACUUGACUAACAUGCUGGGUCACAUGCUACCCUGCACGGGUAGGCCCCAGGCAUGAUGCAGAUUGCAUUCUAUGCCUGGUCUUUUACCUACACUAAGCACAAGUGUCUGUUACAACCCGGCCAUGGCUUCCUGCAUUACGAGGAGCACUUGCCAGAGAUGUGCACUGUUCUAUGCCGACAAAGAUUAGAUUCCAUGGCUUUGAGCCUCUGCCCUAAGUUUAAUUUAACUUUUAGAAAGCUCCUCCCUUGCAAAUAACAAGAAACUGGGCCACACUAGAACCUAAAUAAAGUCUAUGCUAUUUUUAAAUGUCCUUAGAGACUUUGGGGUACAGGGGAACUUUUAUCUUCUCACUCAAAUGGAUACUCCUCUACCUCAGCCUCAAAACAUUGUCAACUGACUGACAAUGAACACUCUGAGGCCCUUUUAUUUUAUCUAAAGUAACAUUUAUAUAACAUAUUGGAAACCACAAAGGCAAAGAAUAUGUUCAUUUUAAAAUUUCGUCUCCCAGAUGCCUAUUAUAAUCUUGAACUUAAUGAACACUGGUCACUCACUACUGCCUGGGUGUGAUUACUCUCUAUUUCCCAAGAACAAUACGUAACCAAGUCUUUCAGCAGAUGCACUCCCUCAGUGACAAAAUGUGCAAGUUGCAGGUUUGAGCAAGACCUGCUUCUAGCUGCAGAGAGGAGAGAGGCCCACAGCCUUCUUACUUUGGGGUCUUAACAAAUCUGAAAGUCAACGAGUCCCAAGUGAAGCUACAGAUCCAGUCUUGAAAUGAAUGCUUGCUGCAGAGAGAGGGGACCUAAGUGAAGCCGGUGCAAGAGACAGAGAGGAAAGGAACACCCGUGUGCUUGCUCCUCUGUCCUGUAGGGAUCCUGAUGGCCAACGAGGACCUUUGGUGCUUUCUCCUACAGUUAUGGUUGGUUAAACAAAUAAAAUCUAAGUGUGGGAGCAUUUUAAAGCUGUCUUAAUAGCAACAAAGUGACCUUCCAACUCAGAUGACAGUCAGGUGUAAAGACUAAGUUAAGGCUAGUAGUCAGGGAUUCUGGGAAGUCUGAAAGCCUCUUGAGGGAAAGGUAUUUCUUAUGCUUCAUCUACACAUUUAUGUAUGUUCUAAAAGUACUUGCAAAGGGAUGAAUUCUAUCUAGUUAUGGAAGUAGCAAGUUCUCUCUCUCUCUCUCUCUCUCUCUCUCUCUCUCUCUGUGUGUGUGUGUGUGUGUGUGUGUGUGUGUGCAUGAAAGGAUAUUCAAGAUGGAGGAACUCUGCAUUUAUGGCAUGGUGAAAAAUCUGAAGAGUCUGUCAACUUUGGUUAAGCCCGUGCCUGGCUGAAGCCCUCAAACCAGCUUUGCGUGAACCACUGCAGCAAGGCGGGUUUUGGGCCUCUCCCUCUGACUUUGAAGACUGGGACUGCUCCAGGCCAGAGAUGUCAGUGUAUAUAGUUAACUGUUAUGGAUCUUACAAUAAAAAU